CCUACGGGUGGCUGCAGUGGGGAAUAUUGCACAAUGGGGGAAACCCUGAUGCAGCGACGCCGCGUGAGUGAAGACGUAUUUCGGUAUGUAAAGCUCUAUCUGCAGGGAAGAAAAUGACGGUACCUGAUUAAGAAGCCCCGGCUAACUACGUGCCAGCAGCCGCGGCAAUACGUAGGGGGCAAGCGUUAUCCGGAUUUACUGGGUGUAAAGGGAGCGUAGAGGGGGGGACAAGUCAGGUGGGAAAUGCCGGGGCUUAACCCCAAAAUUGCUUUGGAAACUGUGAAGUUAGAGUUCAGGAGAGGUAGGUGGAAUUCGUGGUGUAGCGGUGAAAUGCGUAGAUAGUACGAAGAACACCAAGGGCGAAGGCAGCUUACUGGACUGUAACUGACAUUGAGGCUCGAAAGUGUGGGGAGCAAACAGGAUUAGAUACCCCAGUAGUC
Molecule: ribosomal RNA, 440 nt
Filed under: uncultured bacterium
Lineage: Bacteria
Description: partial 16S ribosomal RNA
Rfam family: Bacterial small subunit ribosomal RNA
Source: RNAcentral